RNAcentral lists this ribosomal RNA (26 nucleotides) under Helianthus strumosus. RNAcentral's name for it is "partial 18S ribosomal RNA". The record is from RNAcentral. Lineage: Eukaryota; Viridiplantae; Streptophyta; Magnoliopsida; Asterales; Asteraceae.
UACCUGGUUGAUCCUCCCAGUAGUCA